Amyelois transitella is the source of this 399-nucleotide long non-coding RNA. RefSeq lists it as uncharacterized. The record is from RefSeq and is a predicted model, not a curated record. The transcript has 3 exons. NCBI's taxonomy places the organism in Eukaryota, Metazoa, Arthropoda, Insecta, Lepidoptera, Pyralidae.
GAAGAACGUCGUGAAUGAUUAAACAUACGCUCAUGGGGCGUACAUCCAGUAGCUGUGCAUAGAAGUGAGCGGAUAGCAUGAAGUGACUUCUCAAGGACAGUUUCCCAUUGAGUAAUAGGCAAAUUAAUUGAUUUUAAGUUGAUGAACUUACAUCUGCACACGGGAAAGCGAAAGGAAAUCUAGAAAACUCAUCCACCACACGCAUACAUUGCAUGAUGACGUCAUACGUCUGACAUCCUCAACUGAGAAUGGUAAAUUUUUUGAUCUGAUCCAGUGUACCAUUCUAGUUAUACCGGGAUGACACAGAUUAUUAUGCAACUCGAGAAGCUUAGCAUUGUCUACUGUUGUUAAUGCUGUUACAUUUGCUCUUGAAAGGGCAUCGGCCACAAUGUUAUCCUU